Molecule: ribosomal RNA, 256 nt
Filed under: uncultured Rhizophagus
Lineage: Eukaryota; Fungi; Glomeromycota; Glomeromycetes; Glomerales; Glomeraceae
Description: partial large subunit ribosomal RNA
Rfam family: Eukaryotic large subunit ribosomal RNA
Source: RNAcentral
GAAAGAUGAAAAGAACUUUGAAAAGAGAGUUAAACAGUACGUGAAAUUGUUGAAAGGGAAACGAUUGAAGCCAGUCGUACCUUCGGGUAAUCAGCCUUUCGGGUGCGAUUCUGUGGGGUUUGAGGAGCUUAACACCUUCAUGCUUUGCAUAUUCGUGCUCUUGGGUGUACUUGCCCGUGUGGUUGGUUAACAUCAAUUUUGGUGGUCAUAAAAUGACUGGAGGAAUGUAGCUUCGAUCUCGUAUUGAAGUGUUAUA